Medicago truncatula (barrel medic) is the source of this 1423-nucleotide long non-coding RNA. RefSeq lists it as uncharacterized. The record is from RefSeq and is a predicted model, not a curated record. The transcript is spliced from 2 exons. NCBI's taxonomy places the organism in Eukaryota, Viridiplantae, Streptophyta, Magnoliopsida, Fabales, Fabaceae.
CUUUAAACUUCAUGUCAACUAUUUCUAAAUCAUUGCUCUUUAAACUUUCUGUUUUUCUACUACUUCGUUAGUUAUUUCAUCUAUUUCUUGCUUCAUUUCCUCUAUUUCUUGCUUCAUUUCCUCUAUUUCAUGCUUCUGAUUGAUACCUAUUUUUGUUGAAUUAUGCAUUAGCCUUGGUUAGCAUAACUCCAAAAUAUAUGCUUAUGGAAUAUGUGUUUCUUUAUUUUCAUAUCCAGAUGUUUGUGCUUAACUAUUCAGAGUUGGUUCAAGGUAAUUUUCUGCAUAAUUUGGAGUGAGAUCGGGGUGAUUUUCUGCAUAAUUUAGAGUUGGCUUUCGGCAUGUGGACUAAUGUAGUGCAGCAGCAGUGUUUUUGCACUGCAGCUUCUACCUGGUGGCGUUUUUUCCUCCCUGCGUUCUGAUUUGUCUCUGUGUUCCAGCUGCAACAUAUCGGUUUUACUUUCUUCUCUUUGCCUUGGUCUUCGUGUGUUUUGGCUCAAUUUACAAAAAAAAUACUGUCUUUUUAACUGGCUGUUUGUAUUGGUCUCCUGUUGCUUUUUUAGAAUAGGUUGUUGUAGUUUGGCUCUUUAGUGUAGUUGAUUUUGGUUUGUUUUCUUUGGGAUAGUUUCUUAUGUUCUCUUGGUUCUCAUUUCCUUGGGUUUCUUUUACUGCUACUGCAUAACUACUGUAUGUCAUGUUUGUCUUUUUAUAAUGUUCAUAUAAAUUUUGUGUAGUCUCAAAACUACAGGUAAUCCUUACAAAAAUAAGUUAUGGACCUUAGUGGAUUAGUUGUUGUGAGCAGCAUGUCAAGGAAGCAAAUUUAGGACAUAGUACAUGGCCAUUGAAGAACUGCUUGGGGCUGCCAAUCGCAUGCUUAAUUUAUGUGGUGUGUAUUUAUAUACGUUCGGGACUGGUGUGGUGCCAAUAUGCCUUCAAAAUUAUAGGUAUCUCAACCAAGAAUAUCCAAUAAGGAAUUGGAAGAGCUAAACACUUCAACAUGCAAGAAAGUACAGUUUAUGGCAUAUGUUGAUGGAAGUGGUAGAGAUUUGAUGAUCACUAACGGCUUAGGGGAGUUGUGUUGAUAUUUACUGUGACAAAGGUUUGUAGUAUGACGAUUUGUGAAAAGUUGUAAUGAGUAUUGUAAUCGGUAGUGUUGGCACUAUUGUGUUGUCUCCAUACAUCAUUCAUUAGUAAUAUUAAUUUUUCAUUAAAUAGCCAGGUUUGAAUGCAAACUUAGAUUAUUGUUUUACAAUCAAACAAAUGCAAACUUACAAGGAUGAGGCAAAUAUAAGGCUUCAUAAGCAAUAGUAAGUGCAAUUUGCCUGGUGAUAACUUCUUUGUAAAAAUAAAAAUCUCUAGUGUAUGAUUUUUAGGAUAACUUCUUUGUAAAAAUAAAAAUAUCUAGUGUAUGAUUUUUAGGAUUUGA